Drosophila obscura is the source of this 1379-nucleotide long non-coding RNA. RefSeq lists it as uncharacterized. The record is from RefSeq and is a predicted model, not a curated record. The transcript has 3 exons. NCBI's taxonomy places the organism in Eukaryota, Metazoa, Arthropoda, Insecta, Diptera, Drosophilidae.
AGACAACAGGCCCAAGGCCACACGAAGAUGAAAUUGUUGUCUUGCUUUCUCACUGAAACAAAUGAAUUUCGGAAAGUAUAGCCGAAGCCGAAGCGUAAUUCAGUCAUUUAAGAGACUUGCAAACGAAAUGAUAUGAUUACUCGGUACUCGCUCUCGGCUUUUAGUGACUUUAGGUAACGGUGACCUCAAUCAGAUUCGGGACUGAAGCUCUAGUAUGUAUUGGCAGUUACCUGAGCCAAGAAGGGAGAGAAUGGGAGCCGCCGUGAAAAAAUAAAUCAAAGCGGAAUAAAUGAUAGUGAAGCUGACACAACGUAGAACGCGGAAACACUAAACAAAUGUAAUGCUAAAUCGAACUCUGAAGUCUAGAGAACGACUGCGGCGGCAACGACUGCGACAAUGCCGAUGACGACGAUGACAAACAAAAGCGAUGCCGAUGUUGACUGCAUGUCAUGUAAUGUAAUUCUAUCCCAAUUCAAGCGAUCAAGAAUAGCAUAGUUUAUAUCCGACUAUGAGAUGCCCUUGCGAUACCUUUUUCACACGGUAUUCAGGCGUACGUUCAUUCACAGAUUCAGCCGUUAAUCUGCAAAAGCACAGCAUACCCUUCCUUGUUCUCUAGGAGGAUUGGGUGGAAAAAAAAAUUAUUUUUUUUAAUUGUACACCAAGCCGAGGUCGUUUGAUGCUGCAAUCACUUUCAUUUAAAAAUUAAUCUUCACUUGUUUUUCCACGACAGUCGACUUGCGCACAACAUGCUAAGUAUGUAAAUUGAGGGCAACAAAUAAGGGGGGAUCGCCUCGAGUCCCCUAACCGAGUCGAAGUGCAAUCAAACGCUGUCGGGAAUCGAGAUCGGGAAUGGUAAUACAAAUAUAAUAGAAUUGCACUUCUAUAAGAGAUUAGUAGCGGGUCCAGCAAACGCUUGCGUCAUCUGUCAUCUCUAUCUGACACUACGAGAUACGAAAUGUAUUUGUAUUUCUGUAAAUAUGUAGAUGGAACGAUACGGAAGCUUUUGGAGCAACUCUGAACUGGUCCAGAUACCCCAUCCAAAGUCAAACACGUAGAAGGCUGCCGUCACGCUUUUUGAGCGUGCUAUAAAAGCAAGAGAGUAGAGCAGAGCAGAGCACCAGGCAAGGCCUUCCUGCAAUUGAACAUAUUCUCGUUCUUAUUAAAAAUUCAAAACUAUCGAAACUUUCUAGAGUCUAAAUUUAAGUUAGCGAAUUAAACUUCUUCGCGAUGCCACCUGGUAGAACUACAAAUGACUACAAAUGUUCUCAAUUUGCACAAAAAGUAUGCACACGUUCGACGUAAAUGAAGUUUUACUGCAAUGAGCUAUUUUUUGUAAUGCUUAAUUAAAGAAAAACAGAAUGCUUUCAAUAUAAUUAAUA